This is a long non-coding RNA of Ictalurus punctatus (channel catfish), 421 nucleotides long. The record is from Ensembl. NCBI's taxonomy places the organism in Eukaryota, Metazoa, Chordata, Actinopteri, Siluriformes, Ictaluridae.
CAGGUAAGGAGGCGUUUAUUUAGCAUUCACGUACAAAGCAUUAGCAUUAGCGUCGGCGCUUUGAGGUAAAGCUGUCACUUUAAGUUUUGCCCCCACUGGAAAGUCUUCAGGACAGGGGAUUUUGCACGUCGCAGUUUUUCAGUUGAGUGACAAACUGAUUUUUUUUUUUUUUUCCUUUUCAUUAGCUUCAAGACGGAGAAGAAGAAAAAAAAAGGAGUGUAGCAAGGUAAGUAUUUGGAGUAAUGAGUCCCUGAACAAAGGAUGGGUCGAUAUCAGAAGGAACAGUCAGUAUCUGGUGUUGCCUCCAGCUGCUUUAAGUCCUGCAGUGUAUAUCAUCCUCAUGGACUGCACCAGAUUGGUCAGUUCUUGCUGUGAGAUGCUCCCUCACUCUUCCACCAAGGCAUUUACAAGUUCUCGAACA